RNAcentral lists this ribosomal RNA (280 nucleotides) under uncultured bacterium. RNAcentral describes it as "partial 16S ribosomal RNA". It matches the Rfam family "Bacterial small subunit ribosomal RNA", at positions 506 to 784 of the family's 1533-position model. The record is from RNAcentral.
UGCCAGCCGCCGCGGUAAUACGUAAGGUGCGAACGUUGUUCGAAAUCACUGGGCGUAAAGGGUACGCAGGCGGUCAAAUAAGUUAGUGGUGAAAUUCCGGAGCUCAACUCCGGAGCUGCCAUUGAUACUGUUUGACUUGAGUCGUAAUAUGGGUGGUAGGAAUUCCUGGUGUAGGAGUGAAAUCUGUAGAUAUCAGGAGGAACACCGAUAGCGAAGGCAAACCACUGGGUAACGACUGACGCUAAUGUACGAAAGCUAGGGGAGCAAAUGGGAUUAGAUA